CUAUAAAAGAUGCAGCAGAUGCAAACUGUAAAACAAGGACAAUUAACCCUUGCUCUCCUGGACCAAAUUUAUCCUAACCUCGUCUUUUGUCUUCC
Podarcis lilfordi (Lilford's wall lizard) is the source of this 95-nucleotide non-coding RNA. NCBI's taxonomy places the organism in Eukaryota, Metazoa, Chordata, Lepidosauria, Squamata, Lacertidae. The record is from the annotation of a GenBank genome assembly.